CAGAGGGAAGCAAAAUAGUGAUAUGGAGCAAAACCCUAAAAACGGUCUCAGUUCGGAUUGAAGGCUGAAAUUCGCCUUCAUGAAGCUGGAAUUACUAGUAAUCGCAGAUCAGAAUGCUGCGGUGAAUGCGUUCCCGGGUCUUGUACACACCGCCCGUCACACCACGGAAGUUGGGGGCGCCCGAAGCCACUUAGCUAACCCUUUUGGGAAGCGAGUGUCGAAGGUGAAAUCAAUAACUGGGGUGAAGUCGUAACAAGGUAGC
Molecule: ribosomal RNA, 262 nt
Filed under: uncultured bacterium
Lineage: Bacteria
Description: partial 16S ribosomal RNA
Rfam family: Bacterial small subunit ribosomal RNA
Source: RNAcentral